Molecule: ribosomal RNA, 796 nt
Filed under: uncultured Methanosarcinaceae archaeon
Lineage: Archaea; Methanobacteriati; Methanobacteriota; Methanomicrobia; Methanosarcinales; Methanosarcinaceae
Description: bacterial SSU rRNA
Rfam family: Archaeal small subunit ribosomal RNA
Source: RNAcentral
ACUGCUCAGUAACACGUGGAUAACCUGCCCUUGGGUCCGGCAUAACCCCGGGAAACUGGGGAUAAUUCCGGAUAACGCACAUAUGCUGGAAUGCUUUAUGCGUAAAAUGGAUUCGUCUGCCCAAGGAUGGGUCUGCGGCCUAUCAGGUAGUAGUGGGUGUAAUGUACCUACUAGCCAACAACGGGUACGGGUUGUGAGAGCAAGAGCCCGGAGAUGGAUUCUGAGACAUGAAUCCAGGCCCUACGGGGCGCAGCAGGCACGAAAACUUUACAAUGCGGGAAACCGUGAUAAGGGGACACCGAGUGCCAGCAUCAUAUGCUGGCUGUCCAGGUGUGUAAAAUACACCUGUUAGCAAGGGCCGGGCAAGACCGGUGCCAGCCGCCGCGGUAACACCGGCGGCCCGAGUGGUGAUCGUGAUUAUUGGGUCUAAAGGGUCCGUAGCCGGUUUGGUCAGUCCUCCGGGAAAUCUGACGGCUUAACCGUUAGGCUUUCGGGGGAUACUGCCAGGCUUGGAACCGGGAGAGGUAAGAGGUACUACAGGGGUAGGAGUGAAAUCUUGUAAUCCCUGUGGGACCACCUGUGGCGAAGGCGUCUUACCAGAACGGGUUCGACGGUGAGGGACGAAAGCUGGGGGCACGAACCGGAUUAGAUACCCGGGUAGUCCCAGCCGUAAACGAUGCUCGCUAGGUGUCAGGCAUGGCGCGACCGUGUCUGGUGCCGCAGGGAAGCCGUGAAGCGAGCCACCUGGGAAGUACGGCCGCAAGGCUGAAACUUAAAGGAAUUGGCGGGGGAGCAC